This 22-nucleotide non-coding RNA is filed under the name Mus musculus (house mouse). The record is from RNAcentral. Lineage: Eukaryota; Metazoa; Chordata; Mammalia; Rodentia; Muridae.
UGAAGAUGGAGGAAGCUAGUGG